CAAGAUUGCAUACCCUGGGGCAUCCGCCUAUGUUGUGAUAAUUCGAAAGAUAAAGGAAGGACCCUAUUGUAAUUGUAUGAGUCCGGGAAGUGAAUCAGAUCUAAAAGGAUUUGUUGUACACUGGAGCGGUCUCUGAAAGGUCCCAUCUACUUAGUUCUUNGUGAACAAAGAUGUAGUUCUGUCGAUGGCUCAAAUGGAUGAUUUCGUAUGUAAAUAAGA
This 219-nucleotide unclassified non-coding RNA is filed under the name Hevea brasiliensis (rubber tree). The record is from RNAcentral. Lineage: Eukaryota; Viridiplantae; Streptophyta; Magnoliopsida; Malpighiales; Euphorbiaceae.